UGGGUAACCUGCCUGUAAGACUGGGAUAACUCCGGGAAACCGGGGCUAAUACCGGAUGCUUGAUUGAACCGCAUGGUUCAAUCAUAAAAGGUGGCUUUUAGCUACCACUUGCAGAUGGACCCGCGGCGCAUUAGCUAGUUGGUGAGGUAACGGCUCACCAAGGCGACGAUGCGUAGCCGACCUGAGAGGGUGAUCGGCCACACUGGGACUGAGACACGGCCCAGACUCCUACGGGAGGCAGCAGUAGGGAAUCUUCCGCAAUGGACGAAAGUCUGACGGAGCAACGCCGCGUGAGUGAUGAAGGUUUUCGGAUCGUAAAACUCUGUUGUUAGGGAAGAACAAGUACCGUUCGAAUAGGGCGGCACCUUGACGGUACCUAACCAGAAAGCCACGGCUAACUACGUGCCAGCAGCCGCGGUAAUACGUAGGUGGCAAGCGUUGUCCGGAAUUAUUGGGCGUAAAGCGCGCGCAGGCGGUUUCUUAAGUCUGAUGUGAAAGCCCCCGGCUCAACCGGGGAGGGUCAUUGGAAACUGGGGAACUUGAGUGCAGAAGAGGAGAGUGGAAUUC
Molecule: ribosomal RNA, 567 nt
Filed under: Bacillus licheniformis
Lineage: Bacteria; Bacillati; Bacillota; Bacilli; Caryophanales; Bacillaceae
Description: bacterial SSU rRNA
Rfam family: Bacterial small subunit ribosomal RNA
Source: RNAcentral